AAGAAAGAGUUGAUGAUGCCAUUCUUAUGGAAGUUAUUCCAUGUAAGAUUCUUCAUGGAUCAUUUGUGUCUCUGUAUCAGUUGUAAUUUAAGCUUUUGUUUCAUUUAUUCAUUUUGAUGGAGAGAGUGAUAAGGAUGUGUCUAAACUUGUGUCUGAUUUUGAGGCAUACUUGUCCUAGUCUGGUUUAUUAAAGGUUAUAGCUGUAGAGCAUAACAAUGAUACUUAAAUACCAUCUUCUAUGCAUUCAUGGUAAUGAGUGAGUCUUCUUUGUGAGAAUGAGAUUGCCCAGAGUUGUGCUGCAUGUUCAGCGAGCAAUGUGAGCUAUUGGAUGCACAAUGGUUUUGUUACCGUCAACAAUGGAAAAAUGUCACUAGGGAAUUUUCUCACAAUUCGUGAGGUAAGUAACAAAAUGUAUGUGUUUGGGAAACGUUCUCAUUUCAUAAUUUGAGUUUCUUUUGAGUAGAACAUCUUUGGAAUCUUUUCUGCAUUCUUUCUUGCUAGAAUUGUUUCGGCCAUAACCAAUUAAUUGUACUGUAGGUCUUCAAGCUGUACCAUCCAUUGACCUUGAGAGAUUUCUUGAUCAGCACAACCUACCAACCAGUAGAUUAAGGUCUAUUUCGUUGACGUUCAUGUGGCCAAGCUGACAAACAGCAUUCUUAUCAAUGAAUUGUUUGAUGCACCAUUAAAUUCUUGAUAGAAAACACAUAAAAGGGAUAUUCAGAACCUUUUCUUGAAAUCCCUUAUAGAACCUUCCAGUCUAACCAUUUCCAUCAUUUUACUUGGAGCCUCAACUACCACCACAAGGAAGAAAGGAUACGAAGGAUCCCCUUGCUUAGACCCUGGAACGCCCAAAGUAUCCUUUUGAUGAAGGACCUUUAUGAAAUUACGUCUAAAAACUUCAAACUUUCUUGAAUUUAUGGGCUUUUCAUUUCCUUUUUUAAUCUACUUCUUAAAUCUACUUAUGGCAAUCAGCAACCCGACUUUCCACAACUUCAUCAAACCAUGGGGCUUCUUGAAAGGAGGAUUCUGACCUUUUGGAAGUCCCAAACUCACCCGCUGAAUCUGCUCCAUCCAUCAUACAUACAUACAAGCAUGCACUUUUUAAAACAUGCAUCUUGCUGAACAUGUCAUGAUAUAUCCUUACUGUUGUAAUUGCAGAUUUGUAAACUGUAUUAAUAGCGUUAAUCGCCAUUUUCAUUCUGUGGACUCUUAGCUUAAAAACUUCAGUCAUGGCUACUGCUUUGUGUUAAAGCAAUUGAAUUAUUACAGAAUGAGUAAGCUAAUAGCAUUAAUUGCCAUUUUCAUUCUAUGGACUCUCAGCUUAAAAACUUCAGUGGUGGCUACUGCUUUGCGUUAAAGCUAUUGAAUUAUUACAGAAUGAGUUGAAGUUGACUGGGGGCUUUUUUCAUUUUUGUUCUGGUGUUAUUCAUAUAAUGGACGCUCCUUGUAGGAACUAUUGGUUACCACGCAGCAUGACUAAUUGUGGAAUUUGAAUGAAGUUCAUAUUUCAUUAGCCUUGAUGCCAAAAACUAAAAAGGAAAAAAAUCUGUUGUCUGUCAGGAUGUACAAUGAGGCGAUCUCAUAUUAUGAGAAGGCACUUGCCCUUUCGACCAGAAGUUUGAGCACCUAUGCAGGUCUGGCGUACACUCAUCAUUUGCAGGAUAAUUUCAAUUCUGCAAUUAGAUAUUACCAUAACGUACACUUACAAGUUGGGGCAUAGGUUAUUCAAUGGUUCGUACAUUUGGAGU
Magnolia sinica is the source of this 1748-nucleotide long non-coding RNA. RefSeq lists it as uncharacterized. NCBI's taxonomy places the organism in Eukaryota, Viridiplantae, Streptophyta, Magnoliopsida, Magnoliales, Magnoliaceae. The record is from RefSeq and is a predicted model, not a curated record. The transcript is spliced from 3 exons.